Molecule: long non-coding RNA, 3125 nt
Organism: Piliocolobus tephrosceles (Ugandan red Colobus)
Lineage: Eukaryota; Metazoa; Chordata; Mammalia; Primates; Cercopithecidae
Source: Ensembl
CGGAUAACGACGAACAAUUUGUAUCUUGUCGAUGCACAAAUACAAAAAACGAUUAUUUGCAUACAGAUAGUAACAUCCGACAGCAACAACAACAGCGACAGCGUGAUCGUCGAAGUCACAGUCGGUGUAGCAAUAGUGAUAAUGUUUCUGGUACCAAAAUAGAUUUCGAAAAAAGUAACAUAGGUACAUCUUUAUCAAUGAAUAAUUUAAAAAAUGGAACUAUAAAUAAAAAAAGUUGGAAUAGGAAUGAUAGUAGGUUAAGGAAUAAUGAUAAAAGAUUACUAUACUUGAACGAAUCUGAUGUUUGUUUGGGGUGUAUCCAUACGAAUCAAAGAGUUUACUGUUACAGAAUAGUAUUAACAAUUUUUGUGUUUUUGUUUGAUCAUUCAAAAUGUAUAUCUGAAUAUUACAAAUAUAUGCUUAAAGUCGGUUUGAUGAAUAAUGAGUUUAAAAAAUAUGUUGAUGAUAAAAAGGGAAACGAAAAGAUACAAUACCGUUUUGAAAUAUGCAAAUGUAAAAAAAAAUAUAUGUAAAUAUUUAUUUCUUCAUCACCAUUGUAAUAGUAAGUUUAUAAAAAAGUUGAUGUAUUGUUUUUUACACAUGUUAAUAGAAAUAAACUACAAAAAAGAGGAGAAAAAAGAGGAGAAAAAAGAAACAAAUGGGAUGGGGGAUAUGAAAAUUGCGAAGAGUUUUAUAAAUAAGUUUUAUAAUAAAGGGUGUUUGGAAAAACGUGUAAAAAGGUGUAUAAGUUUAUGCAAUGACGAUACGUGGAAAAACAAGUUAAAAAUAUUAGCUGAUCAAGUCAUUAAAAGAAUUGCAUUAAUAUUAUCAAAUCGUUUCGUAUUAGCUAAAAAUAAUAUAUUUAUUUAUAUAAAGAAUCAUAUGAAUGAAUUGGAUGUUUCUACUUUUGUAUAUACUUUGUGUAAUAUAAUAAAUUAUCAUUCUUUGUUCUUAGAUACUGCUAUAUAUGGUUUAUAUGUUAUAGAAACAGUUUUAAAAUGUAUAUUACAUAUACAGCCAGUUGAAAUAAAAAAAUGUAUGCAAACAUCUUUUUUUUCUGAAUUAUGCAUAUGUAUAUGUAAUAUAUGUAAUAAACCUAAAAUAAAAAAAAAAAUAUUUGGUUUGUUACUAUUAAUAAGAGUUAUUAAAAUUUUACAUCCACAUUGGGUACAGUCAAAUGUGUAUAACAUAAUUUAUGUUUUAUUGUCUUGUUACGAACAAUCUGAAUUACAAUAUGAAAUUAUUACUAAAAUCUUGUUAGAAGAAUGUACUGGUUUAGUUUUUUCGUCUUUAUUAAUUGGUUAUGUUGGAGAAGUAAAUAUGUACGUAUUAAACAAUAUAAGACAAGUGGAUUUAACAUAUAUAUAUGAAAUAAAUAAAUGGUAUGUUGAUGUGGUGAACCAGGUUGAUGAUAAAGAGCGCUUACUUUGCUUGAAAGAAAUAAAAAAUGAAAGCAUUUGUAAGAUACGCAGUGAUACAGAGAGGAUACGGGCUUUUUUUGCCAACACAGAUUAUGGUAAUGUUAGUGGCGCUGGUCAUAUUAGUGGUGUUGGUCAUAUUAGUGGUACUGGCCAUGUUAGUGGCGCUGGCCCAAUUAGUGGUUCUGACACUGUAAUUGACACUGUUAUUGGUAUUGAUAGUAAUGAGGGUGGUAUAUGUGGUGGUAAUAAUGGAGGUGAUAUAAGUAGUGGUAGUAAUGGGGGUGGUAUAAGUAGUGGUAGUAAUGGGGGUAAUAUAAGUGGUGGUAGUAACGGUAUAAGUAGUAUUAAUAGUGUUAAUAGUGUUAGUAGUAGCAGUAGUAGCAGUGGUAGCAGUAGUAGCAGUAGUAGCAAUGGUAGCAGUGGUAGCAGUGGUAGCAGUGGUAGCAGUAGUAGCGGUAGUAGUAACAGUGGUCACAUAAAAAAUAAACGAUUUUUAAAAGAAACAUGCUUUUGGUACGAACCUGAUGAAAUAUUUACGUGGGACAUAUUGACAGGAAAAAAAAAAAACAAAAGGAACGACAGAGAUAUUGAAAAAAUGAAAAGGUUAGUAUUUGACAUAUUGGAAAUAUUAAUUUCUAAUUUGAAAAAUGAAUUUAAGAAAAAAUUUAUAAAAAAAGUUUUUGUUAUUAUAACAAAGAUUUUAAACACAGAUAUAAGAGAUAUAUUCAUGUAUAAAUAUUCGAAUAAAAAAAACAAUUUAUGUUUACUUAAUGUGUUUAUGAACCAGUUUAAUAUUUGUAAUUUUAUAAAGUCUCCAUUAAAAAAAAAAAAUUGUUAUCUUGAGAUGUAUUGUUUUUUAUUAUCUCAAAAACCGAGUGUUGUAAUGAGGUUAGACGUAAUUUUAACUUUAAUUAAAUAUGUAGUACAAAUAAUAAAAUAUUUGGAAAAAACGGAUGAAAAUCAAAAUCAAUACUUUAAUUUGCUUUUUAAUGGGAACAUAACUAAUAGUUGUUCGAGUGACAACGUAAAUAUGAAAUUGAGUAAAAAAUAUGGUUUAAACGUGAUUUGUGAGGAUGUGUCUGACAAUGUACAGGGACUGGGUAAUACAAACGAACUCGAUUUUACACAAGAACUUGACAAUAUAAACGAAGAAGAGUUUAAACUUGUAAUGCAGUAUCCACACCAUUCAUCACAUCCUAUUUAUGAAGAAUGUACAACAAAACAGAGUUUAUAUAAUGCGAGUUUAUGCCGUAAUAAUAAUAAAGCUAUUUUGAGUAAUAUGCACGUUAAUGAUAAACAUGUAUAUCAGCUUCAUAACCAUUCAAAUGUUGAUACGUUUUCAGAAAUGCAUAUUAGCAAAAGUAAUGAUGAAAAAAAAAAUAAAAACUUGCGCGAAUUGUAUGAAAAAAUAAAAAAUAAAAAAAGAAGUUACAGUUUACAUAAUAGUAAGAGCUAUUUGUCUGCAUCCUUGCCAAAUAUAAGUAAUAAAAAUAGUUAUUGUAAUAAAGGUAACUUUACUAAUACUGCUAGUGAUACUGUCAAUGUUACUACCAGAAUUAGUAAUAAUAAAUAUCCUAAUGGCAACACAAAUAGUAAUGAUAACAAUAAUAUUAGCACUAGUACUACUGUUACUACUGGUACUGGUACUAUUGGUACGACUAGUACUGGUACUACUGUUACUACUAGUACUGGUACUACUGUUAC